This is a non-coding RNA of Pelobates cultripes (western spadefoot toad), 227 nucleotides long. Lineage: Eukaryota; Metazoa; Chordata; Amphibia; Anura; Pelobatidae. The record is from the annotation of a GenBank genome assembly.
AGCAUCGUAGGCUCCAUCUGUGAUAAUUGGCAAAGCUACAGGAAUAAUUCCAUGUAUACAGCUGUUUUGUUUAUUUAUUUAUUUUUAACAUUCUCCUAUAGUAGCUUUACCCAGGGCCUUUUAAUAUAGUUUAGUAAUGACACAGUUUGAGUGGUGAGUAUGUUAAUUAUACAGUCAAAAGAAAACACAUUAAACACAUUAAAACUGAGCAGUAAACUCAAUAUUAG